This 207-nucleotide long non-coding RNA is filed under the name Lathyrus oleraceus (garden pea). RNAcentral's name for it is "Pisum sativum (pea) long non-coding RNA (PSAT_LNC035503)". Lineage: Eukaryota; Viridiplantae; Streptophyta; Magnoliopsida; Fabales; Fabaceae. The record is from RNAcentral.
AGGUUGAGAGAUGAUCUUGUGAUAAAAUAUUUGUUGUUAGUGCAACUAUCAAGGGUAAAUCCUUGAGUAUGGAAUGAGUCACAUGGUUUGAGGUGUAACCAAUGUAAAUUUGGGAUGUUUUUUCUUUUCCUUUAUCUAUUUAUAUUUUUUUAUUCAUACUUUCGCGCAUAAACUCCGCUUAUUCUCUUUUCUUAAAAUGAAUCAAGU